GGAAGGUUGCCAGAGUGGCAAUGGGACGGUUUGCUAAACCGUAGCCGGGGUAACACCCGCGCAGGUUCGACUCCUGCACUUUCCG
This 85-nucleotide transfer RNA is filed under the name Spirochaetes bacterium GWB1_59_5. RNAcentral describes it as "tRNA-Ser". It matches the Rfam family "tRNA". From Rfam's summary of the family: Transfer RNA (tRNA) molecules are approximately 80 nucleotides in length. The record is from RNAcentral. Lineage: Bacteria; Pseudomonadati; Spirochaetota.